GAAUUUUGGGUAAUGGGCGAAAGCCUGACCCAGCAACGCCGCGUGAAGGAUGAAAUCCCUCGGGAUGUAAACUUCGCAAGAACGGGAAGAAUAAGUAAGAGUUAAUAUCUCUUACGAUGACGGUACUGUUUGUAAGCUCCGGCUAACUCCGUGCCAGCCGCCGCGGUAAUACGUAGGGAGCAAGCGUUGUUCGGAUUUACUGGGCGUAAAGGGCGCGUAGGCGGCGUGUUAAGUCAGCUGUGAAAUCUCCAAGCUUAACUUGGAACGGCCAGCUGAUACUGACGUGCUAGAGUGCAGAAAGGGCAAUCGGAAUUCUUGGUGUAGCGGUGAAAUGCGUAGAUAUCAAGAGGAACACCUGAGGCGAAGGCGGGUUGCUAGGCUGACACUGACGCUGAGGCGCGAAAGCCAGGGGAGCAAACGGG
RNAcentral lists this ribosomal RNA (422 nucleotides) under uncultured bacterium. Its description in RNAcentral is "bacterial SSU rRNA". It matches the Rfam family "Bacterial small subunit ribosomal RNA", at positions 359 to 776 of the family's 1533-position model. The record is from RNAcentral.